UCCCUGGUGGUCCAGUGGUUAGGACUCUGCGCUUCCACUGCAGGGGUGUGGGUUCCAUCCCUGUUGGGGAA
RNAcentral lists this transfer RNA (71 nucleotides) under Bos taurus (domestic cattle). It matches the Rfam family "tRNA". From Rfam's summary of the family: Transfer RNA (tRNA) molecules are approximately 80 nucleotides in length. Their secondary structure includes four short double-helical elements and three loops (D, anti-codon, and T loops). RNAcentral also lists the same sequence under 4 other names. The record is from Rfam by way of RNAcentral. Lineage: Eukaryota; Metazoa; Chordata; Mammalia; Artiodactyla; Bovidae.